GUAGCAGUCUCGAAAGGGUUAAGGAGAGCCCUAAUCAGCUGCUGCCGUUGCAAUCAGCUACAUCAGCCUCAGCUGCUCCAACUGGCUGCAUGGAGGCUGCUGGGUGUUCUUGGGGGACUAUUGCCCUGCUGCUGAGAAGGGAAGCUGAGCUCUGUUCGGUAUCGUGGUACAACUCCCCUGUCUGGCUGCCGGGACUGAAAGGAAAGCUGGUUUUGGAGGAGGCUCCAGAGAGGGUUAAUCUGUUUUGGAGAGAUGCAGCAUAGUCUGUGGUCACUAUAAGGAAGUGAAGUAAUAAGUUGUCUUGGAGUCGCUGGUGAUUGCGCAGGUCAAGGUAGUGCCAGGCCCAGAUGCCCAUCACGCAAUUCUCCUGGACCUGUCACUUCAACUUGUGUGACUCCUGGGGGCCAGAAGAGCCCUUCUGCACGAG
This is a long non-coding RNA of Alligator mississippiensis (American alligator), 427 nucleotides long. RefSeq lists it as uncharacterized. The transcript has 3 exons. Lineage: Eukaryota; Metazoa; Chordata; Crocodylia; Alligatoridae. The record is from RefSeq and is a predicted model, not a curated record.